RNAcentral lists this ribosomal RNA (560 nucleotides) under Scolopocryptops melanostomus. RNAcentral describes it as "eukaryotic LSU rRNA". It matches the Rfam family "Eukaryotic large subunit ribosomal RNA", at positions 666 to 947 of the family's 3401-position model. The record is from RNAcentral. Lineage: Eukaryota; Metazoa; Arthropoda; Chilopoda; Scolopendromorpha; Cryptopidae.
CCAAGGAGUCUAACACGUGCGCAAGUCGUCAGGUCGUCCUCCUAAAAAGUCGACGAAACCUGAGCGGCGCAAUGAAAGUGAAGGUUUCGUCCGUUCCUCUUUUGCUUCUUAGCUUUUACCUUUUUUCCUCGCAAGGGGAAUCUUGGGCGGCGGAAGGACUGGAGGGCGGCGAACCGAGGCGGGAUCCGGUGCAAUCCCCCAUUCCAUCCAUCGCACGAAAACUGCGGUGGCAAUGGUUUGAGAUACGACAUUGAUUAAAAGCCAGGGCGAAAAGAUGCGGAGGCCGCCGGGGGCGUUGCGAUCGGCCGUCAAAAAGUCGGUCCUUCACCCCUCGGCCCGAGCUCUCGAGCCCUCGGCCGGCGCACCGCCGGCCCGUCUCAAAGCCGCAGCGAAACGGCGAGGCGGAGCCAGAGCGUACACGUUGGGACCCGAAAGAUGGUGAACUAUGCUCGGGCAGGACGAAGCCAGAGGAAACUCUGGUGGAGGUCCGUAGCGAUUCUGACGUGCAAAUCGAUCGUCGGACCUGAGUAUAGGGGCGAAAGACUAAUCGAACCGUCUAG